GUGAGUAGUUCAGAGUUUGAUCCUGGCUCAGGAUGAACGCUGGCGGCGUGCCUAAUACAUGCAAGUCGAACGGAGGAUACUUCGGUAUCCUUAGUGGCGAACGGGUGAGUAAUACGUAGGUAACCUACCGAUAAGCCGAGGAUAGCCAUUGGAAACGAUGGGUAAUACUGGAUAGGACAUCAUAAUGGGCAUCCAUAGAUGUUUAAAGGAGUGAUCCGCUUGUUGAGGGGCCUGCGGCGCAUUAGCUAGUUGGUGAGAUAAAAGGCCCACCAAGGCGAUGAUGCGUAGCCGGACUGAGAGGUUGAACGGCCACAAUGGGACUGAGAACGGCCCAU
This 335-nucleotide ribosomal RNA is filed under the name uncultured bacterium. RNAcentral describes it as "bacterial SSU rRNA". It matches the Rfam family "Bacterial small subunit ribosomal RNA", at positions 1 to 334 of the family's 1533-position model. The record is from RNAcentral.